GUGGGCAGCAGUGAUAGUGAUGUACAGAAUCCUGGGACUAGCGCCAGCGACCCUGUGGAUACCCUGGGUGGUCCAGGAGAGCUUCUGAAAAGAGCAUGAAAAAGCAGGCCUCCUGAACUCCCAUGAGCAACUGAUGCAAGGCACAUCCUACACCCUUCACCACAUGGUGGAGAAGAUCUUUAGGAGCAAAGAACAAAUGAUAUGAAUGACCACACUGACUGUCAGCAAACUGCAGAGCUGCUUAACCAAGAAAUAGCGAGACUGA
RNAcentral lists this long non-coding RNA (265 nucleotides) under Homo sapiens (human). Its description in RNAcentral is "HSALNT0151922". The record is from RNAcentral. Lineage: Eukaryota; Metazoa; Chordata; Mammalia; Primates; Hominidae.